RNAcentral lists this ribosomal RNA (239 nucleotides) under uncultured bacterium. RNAcentral describes it as "partial 16S ribosomal RNA". It matches the Rfam family "Bacterial small subunit ribosomal RNA", at positions 94 to 334 of the family's 1533-position model. The record is from RNAcentral.
GCGGCCGCACGGGUGAGUAACACGUAUCCAACCUGCCCUUUACUCGGGGAUAGCCUUUCGAAAGAAAGAUUAAUACCCGAUAGCAUAAUGAUUCCGCAUGGUUUCAUUAUUAAAGGAUUCCGGUAAAGGAUGGGGAUGCGUUCCAUUAGGUUGUUGGUGAGGUAACGGCUCACCAAGCCUUCGAUGGAUAGGGGUUCUGAGAGGAAGGUCCCCCACAUUGGAACUGAGACACGGUCCAA